CCAAUAGCGUAUAUUAAAGUUGUUGCAGUUAAAAAGCUCGUAGUUGAACUUCGGGGUCUACCCAUUGGUCAGGCUUAAUUGUCUGCACUGGUGAGAUGGAUCUCUACCUUCUGAGGAACUUUCAUGCCAUUUAUUUGUUGUGGUUGGAAAUCAGGACUGUUACUUUGAAAAAAUUAGAGUGUUUAAAGCAGACUAUCGUCUGAAUACAUUAGCAUGGAAUAAUGAAAUAGGACGGACUGAUUCUAUUUCGUUGGUUUCUAGGAUCACCGUAAUGAUUAAUAGGGAUAGUUGGGGGCAUUAGUAUUCAAUUGUCAGAGGUGAAAUUCUUGGAUUUAUUGAAGACUAACUACUGCGAAAGCAUUUGCCAAGGAUGUUUUCAUUAAUCAAGAACGAAAGUUAGGGGAUCGAAGACGAUCAGAUACCGUCGUAGUCUUAACCAUAAACUAUGCCGACUAGGGAUCGGACGAAGUUAAUUUUAUAAUGACGCGUUCGGCACCUUACG
RNAcentral lists this ribosomal RNA (502 nucleotides) under uncultured Glomeromycotina. RNAcentral's name for it is "partial small subunit ribosomal RNA". It matches the Rfam family "Eukaryotic small subunit ribosomal RNA", at positions 591 to 1092 of the family's 1831-position model. Lineage: Eukaryota; Fungi; Glomeromycota. The record is from RNAcentral.